RNAcentral lists this long non-coding RNA (221 nucleotides) under Prunus persica (peach). RNAcentral describes it as "long non-coding RNA (PPER_LNC005970)". Lineage: Eukaryota; Viridiplantae; Streptophyta; Magnoliopsida; Rosales; Rosaceae. The record is from RNAcentral.
GCAUAUUGACCUUGAUUUUCCGUUUGAUCUAGAUCAUGUAACUCAUGGCGUUCUCUAGGUUUCUCAUGAUUCUACUGUUGAUUAGCGCAGUUUCAGCUCAUACAGUCCAAGAUCGGUGUCUCUAUUGGAAACACUAUCUUGCGAAGGCAUGAAAGGGAAUGUCCUUUAUUAAAGGAAAUCAACUUAUCAUCAACAUCAAUUACUUCCUCUUUAUCUACAAU